Molecule: unclassified non-coding RNA, 337 nt
Filed under: soil metagenome
Description: partial contains 5.8S ribosomal RNA, internal transcribed spacer 2, and large subunit ribosomal RNA
Rfam family: 5.8S ribosomal RNA (bases 1-120)
Source: RNAcentral
GAUGAAGAACGCAGCGAAAUGCGAUAAGUAGUGUGAAUUGCAGAAUUCAGUGAAUCAUCGAAUCUUUGAACGCACAUUGCGCCCCUUGGUAUCCCAUGGGGCAUGCCUGUUCGAGCGUCAUUUGUACCCUCAAGCUUUGCUUGGUGUUGGGUGUUUGUCCCGCGUUGCGCGUGGACUCGCCUUAAAGCGAUUGGCAGCCGGCAUAUUGGCCUUGGAGCGCAGCACAUUUUGCGCUUCUAGUCAUGAAUGUUGGCGUCCAUUAAGCCUAUACAUUUGCUCUUGACCUCGGAUCAGGUAGGGAUACCCGCUGAACUUAAGCAUAUCAAUAAGCGGAGGA